RNAcentral lists this microRNA precursor (145 nucleotides) under Gossypium hirsutum (cotton). RNAcentral describes it as "MIR7502 microRNA precursor family". It matches the Rfam family "MIR7502 microRNA precursor family". The record is from Rfam by way of RNAcentral. Lineage: Eukaryota; Viridiplantae; Streptophyta; Magnoliopsida; Malvales; Malvaceae. RNAcentral also lists the same sequence under 1 other name.
UCUGAAAGAAAUCAUUCAUUUUUACUAUUAAAAAAUUAGUAAGGCUGACAAAAUAACUAGACAAUUACACAUGCCGUGCCAUGUGUACCUCAUUUUGGCAUACAGGAUCAAUUUUGAACGGUAGAAAUGAAUGAAAUUUUUAAUA